This 326-nucleotide ribosomal RNA is filed under the name uncultured eukaryote. RNAcentral's name for it is "partial 18S ribosomal RNA". It matches the Rfam family "Eukaryotic small subunit ribosomal RNA", at positions 1470 to 1796 of the family's 1831-position model. The record is from RNAcentral.
CCCUUAGAUGUUCUGGGCCGCACGCGCGCUACACUGAUGCAUUCAACGAGCCUAUCCUUGACCGACAGGUCCGGGUAAUCUUUGAAUCUGCAUCGUGACGGGGAUAGAUUAUUGCAAUUAUUAAUCUUCAACGAGGAAUGCCUAGUAAACGCAAGUCAUCAGCUUGCAUUGAUUACGUCCCUGCCCUUUGUACACACCGCCCGUCGCUCCUACCGAUUGAAUGAUCCGAUGAAUAUCAUGGGUUGAGGAUGCAAGUAGGUUCGUCUAUCUUCAUCUUCGAGAAGUGAAGUAAAUCUUAUCAUUUAGAGGAAGGAGAAGUCGUAACA